UACGGAGGGUGCGAGCGUUGUCCGGAAUCACUGGGCGUAAAGGGCGCGUAGGCGGCGCGGAUAGUCGGCGGUGAAAGCCCGGAGCUCAACUCCGGGUCGGCCGUCGAUACUUCCGGGCUUGAGCACUGUAGAGGCAGAUGGAAUUCCGGGUGUAGCGGUGGAACGCGUAGAGAUCCGGAAGAACACCGGUGGCGAAGGCGGUCUGCUGGGCAGUUGCUGACGCUGAUGCGCGACAGCGUGGGGAGCAAACAGG
This 253-nucleotide ribosomal RNA is filed under the name uncultured bacterium. Its description in RNAcentral is "partial 16S ribosomal RNA". It matches the Rfam family "Bacterial small subunit ribosomal RNA", at positions 524 to 776 of the family's 1533-position model. The record is from RNAcentral.